GUAGGUGGCAAGCGUUGUCCGGAAUUAUUGGGCGUAAAGCGCGCGCAGGCGGUCCUUUAAGUCUGAUGUGAAAGCCCACGGGCUCAACCGUGGAGGGUCAUUGGAAACUGGGGGACUUGAGUACAGAAGAGGAAAGCGGAAUUCCAAGUGUAGCGGUGAAAUGCGUAGAGAUUUGGAGGAACACCAGUGGCGAAGGCGGCUUUCUGGUCUGUAACUGACGCUGAGGCGCGAAAGCGUGGGGAGCAAACAGGAUUAGAUACCCUGGUAGUCCACGCCGUAAACGAUGAGUGCUAAGUGUUAGGGGGUUUCCGCCCCUUAGUGCUGCAGCUAACGCAUUAAGCACUCCGCCUGGGGAGUACGGCCGCAAAGGCUGA
This 374-nucleotide ribosomal RNA is filed under the name uncultured organism. RNAcentral describes it as "partial 16S ribosomal RNA". It matches the Rfam family "Bacterial small subunit ribosomal RNA", at positions 527 to 897 of the family's 1533-position model. The record is from RNAcentral.